This 253-nucleotide ribosomal RNA is filed under the name uncultured bacterium. Its description in RNAcentral is "partial 16S ribosomal RNA". It matches the Rfam family "Bacterial small subunit ribosomal RNA", at positions 524 to 776 of the family's 1533-position model. The record is from RNAcentral.
GACAGAGGCCUCAAGCGUUAGGCGGAAUCACUGGGCUUAAAGCGUGUGUAGGCGGACGCCUAAGUACCUUGUGAAAUCCCACGGCUCACCCGUGGAACUGCUUGGCAUACUGCGAGCCUUGAGCCACUUAGGGGCAACCGGAACAAACGGUGGAGCGGUGAAAUGCGUAGAUAUCGUUUGGAACGCCAAUGGUGAAAACAGGUUGCUGGGAGUGCGCUGACGCUGAGACACGAAAGCCAGGGGAGCGAACGGG